RNAcentral lists this ribosomal RNA (383 nucleotides) under uncultured bacterium. Its description in RNAcentral is "bacterial SSU rRNA". It matches the Rfam family "Bacterial small subunit ribosomal RNA", at positions 30 to 406 of the family's 1533-position model. The record is from RNAcentral.
AUUGAACGCUGGCGGCAUGCCUUACACAUGCAAGUCGAACGGCAGCACGGGAGCAAUCCUGGUGGCGAGUGGCGAACGGGUGAGUAAUGUAUCGGAACGUACCUUUCAGUGGGGGAUAACGUAGCGAAAGUUAACGCUAAUAACCGCAUAUUCUGUGAGCGAGGAAAGACAGGGGAGUCGCAAGACCUUGCGCUGAUUGAGCGGCCGAUAUCAGAUUAGCUAGUUGGUGAGGUAAAGGCUCACCAAGGCGACGAUCUGUAGCGGGUCUGAGAGGGAUGAUCCGCCACACUGGAACUGAGACACGGUCCAGACGUCCUACGGGAGGCAGCAGUGGGGAAUUUUGGACAAUGGGCGCAAGCCUGAUCCAGCCAUGCCGCGUGAGU